UUGGGAACAGUUAUGCCAGGUUUAUAUGCUAAGAAGAGAAGCCAGCUUCAAAUGACAAUUUCCUACCACAAGAACAUUUCUAAACAUGGGAACUGGUUUUGGCACUGACACAAGGAAAAGUUUAUAUGUUCUAAAGUGAAAGUUAAAAAGACCUUCUUGUUGCUGGACGUGCAAGAAGCAAUCAAAAGGAAAUCAUGUUGGACCCAUAGG
This 210-nucleotide long non-coding RNA is filed under the name Lonchura striata (white-rumped munia). Its description in RNAcentral is "domestica (Bengalese finch) lncRNA (ENSLSDG00000001785.1)". The record is from RNAcentral. Lineage: Eukaryota; Metazoa; Chordata; Aves; Passeriformes; Estrildidae.